UACGUAGGGUGCGAGCGUUAAUCGGAAUUACUGGGCGUAAAGCGUACGCAGGCGGUUGUGCAAGACAGAUGUGAAAUCCCCGGGCUUAACCUGGGAACUGCAUUUGUGACUGCACGGCUAGAGUGUGUCAGAGGGGGGUAGAAUUCCACGUGUAGCAGUGAAAUGCGUAGAUAUGUGGAGGAAUACCGAUGGCGAAGGCAGCCCCCUGGGAUAACACUGACGCUCAUGCACGAAAGCGUGGGGAGCAAACAGG
Molecule: ribosomal RNA, 253 nt
Filed under: uncultured bacterium
Lineage: Bacteria
Description: partial 16S ribosomal RNA
Rfam family: Bacterial small subunit ribosomal RNA
Source: RNAcentral